GGGACGCGUCAGGGGUGGGCCCGGCAGAACUCCAGGGCGGCCUGCGCCAGGACAUAGGGGACCGUCUUCCCCAGAGCUGGGAAAAGAGAGCCAGGGCAAGGAGCCAGGAGGAACUGGAGGCAAGGUGACUCCCCCUGUUUCGUGCUCCGCUCCAUGUUAGGGACAGAGACCUGGGCGGCAGUGCAGCCUCUGGGGAGAUGCGUGUCCCGCAGGCUCGGUUCCACCCCCAGUGACAUGCCCAGUGCCGGCCCCUGAACACGACACUCACUCGUGCUGGGCAGACGGAAUGCAGGAUGGUGCCUGCCACUCAGAGAUAGACGGAGGCCGUAAGGAUCACGCCCAUUGAUCAAGUGCUUACUGUGUUCCCGACGUGGUUCUAAGUGCCCACCGUAUGUUGACUCAAUGAGUUCUCACAAGAGCCCUACAAGGACAAUCAUAAGCCUGGGGCUGGAUGGUGAGUGCCAGUCUAACAAUGUGAAUAUGAGAAGCUAACUGCAACCCUGUGAAUAAUCAACCUGAGGCUGUCAGUCCUGAACAAGGAAACAGAGUGAGAAAAGCACAUUGCAUCCCAUGGACAUCAUACGGCUUUGUUGAAGAAGGUAUCUCAAGUUUGGUUUCCAGACUUGACCCGGCUCAGGGGUCACUCACCAGUUCGUGGCCUGUUAGGAACCAGGCUGCACAGCAAGAGGUUUGUCAUAGCUUUUCUUUCCAGAAGCAAGCAUCUUUUAAUUUUGUGGCUGCCGUCACCAUCCGCAGUGAUUUUGGAGCCCAAGGUGGACUCUUCACCAUCUGAGCCACCAGGGAAGCCCAAGAAUACUGGAGAGGGUAGCCUAUCCCUUCUCCAGGGGAUCUUUCUGGCCCAGGAAUCAAACCAGGGUCUUCUGCAUUGCAGGUGGAUUCUUUACCAACUGAGCUACCAGCGAAGCCCUGGAAAGCUCAACUAAGUUGUCAAAUACCAUCAAGGAUCCAGGUCCCACCACCCUGCUGUAUUGCCAUCCUCAGAGGACUGGGUGUCCUCAGCACAUCCCUUCCCUGUUCCAAGGAGGCUGUGGCUUCAAGCUUCUCAUCUCCAGAGGAUACGGUUCAACAGAGCCAGGAAAGAGGCAGGAGUGAAACAAAGAAUACAAAUAAAUUUAAAAUUUUAAAGGCUUUUUUGCCGUGUUGACUAUCUUAUUUACCCAAACAUAUUUGGACAGCAAGGAGAUUCAACCAGUCCAUCCUAAAGGAAAUCAGUCCUGAAUAUUCAUUGGAAGGACUGAUGUUGAAGCUGAAACUCCAAUCCUUUGGCCACCUGAUGCAAAGAACUGACUGAUUUGAAGAAACCCUGAUGCUAGGAAAGAUUGAAGGUGGGAGGAGAAGGGGACAACAGAGGAUGAGGUGGUUCAAUGGCAUCACUGACUCAAUGGACAUGAGUUUGGGUGAACUCCAGGAGUUGGUGAUGGACAGGGAGGGCCUGGCGGGCUGUAGUCCAUGGGGUCGCAAAGAGUCGGACACGACUGAGCGACUGGACUGAACUGACUGAUUUCCAGGUAACCUCAGCAGAUUCAUCCUUACGUCUCAUUGGCC
This is a long non-coding RNA of Bos taurus (domestic cattle), 1566 nucleotides long. The record is from Ensembl. NCBI's taxonomy places the organism in Eukaryota, Metazoa, Chordata, Mammalia, Artiodactyla, Bovidae.